UCGUCUGUUUAAAGAACUAUAUUUCAGACCCGAACUGUAAGCACUGCAUCAAGGAAACACUAGAACAACUCCGUCAAGCCAUGGAUUUUGAUGCAGCAGCGAUGAUGGAAAUACAACUAGCUCUUUAUGUAUUCCACGAAGCUGUCAGUAAGCAUUUGAAGAGUCACAGCAUUCAGCCUCACUGGAUGUUUGCCCUGGACAAUUUACUUCGGGGGGCGGUGACAGAAGCCAUCAUGAUCUUAU
This is a long non-coding RNA of Ostrea edulis (European flat oyster), 243 nucleotides long. RefSeq lists it as uncharacterized. The record is from RefSeq and is a predicted model, not a curated record. Lineage: Eukaryota; Metazoa; Mollusca; Bivalvia; Ostreida; Ostreidae. The transcript is spliced from 3 exons.